RNAcentral lists this transfer RNA (77 nucleotides) under compost metagenome. Its description in RNAcentral is "tRNA-Met". It matches the Rfam family "tRNA". Rfam says of the family: Transfer RNA (tRNA) molecules are approximately 80 nucleotides in length. Their secondary structure includes four short double-helical elements and three loops (D, anti-codon, and T loops). The record is from RNAcentral.
AGCGGGAUAGCGCAGUUUGGAAGAGCGCGGGGCUCAUUACCCCGAGGUCGCCGGUUCGAAUCCGGCUCCCGCAACCA